AUUGAACGCUGGCGGCAGGCUUAACACAUGCAAGUCGAGCGAGCGGAGGAGGGGUGAAUGGUGUCGGAACACCUGCCUGAUGGAGGGGUCUAACUAGGAUAACCGGUAGAUAACACCGCAAAACCUGCUAUGUGCCCAGAGGGGAUGAGCUAGUGGGGGGGGUAAUGGCUCACCAAGGCGACUCUCCCUAGCUGGUCUGAGAGGAUGACCAGCCACACUGGAACUGAGACACGGGCCAGACUCCUACGGGAGGCAGCAGUGGGGAAUAUUGCACAAUGGGCGCAAGCCUGAUGCAGCCAUGCCGCGUGUGUGAAGAAGGCUUUCGGGUUGUAAAGCACUGUCAGCGGGGAGGCGUUACCCGCAGAAGAAGCACCGGCUAACUCCGUGCCAGCAGCCGCGGUAAUAC
RNAcentral lists this ribosomal RNA (406 nucleotides) under uncultured bacterium. RNAcentral's name for it is "partial 16S ribosomal RNA". It matches the Rfam family "Bacterial small subunit ribosomal RNA", at positions 29 to 526 of the family's 1533-position model. The record is from RNAcentral.